AUUGAACGCUGGCGGCAGGCCUAACACAUGCAAGUCGAACGGUAACAGGAAGCAGCUUGCUGCUUCGCUGACGAGUGGCGGAAGGGUGAGUAAUGUCUGGGAAGCUGCCUGAUGGAGGGGGAUAACUACUGGAAACGGUAGCUAAUACCGCAUAAUGUCGCAAGACCAAAGAGGGGGACCUUCGGGCCUCUUGCAAUCGGAUGUGCCCAGAUGGGAUUAGCUUGUUGGUGGGGUAACGGCUCACCAAGGCGACGAUCCCUAGCUGGUCUGAGAGGAUGACCAGCCACACUGGAACUGAGACACGGUCCAGACUCCUACGGGAGGCAGCAGUGGGGAAUAUUGCACAAUGGGCGCAAGCCUGAUGCAGCCAUGCCGCGUGUAUGAAGAAGGCCUUCGGGUUGUAAAGUACUUUCAGCGGGGAGGAAGGGAGUAAAGUUAAUACCUUGGCUCAUUGACGUUACCCGCAGAAGAAGCACCGGCUAACUCCGUG
This 490-nucleotide ribosomal RNA is filed under the name uncultured bacterium. RNAcentral's name for it is "partial 16S ribosomal RNA". It matches the Rfam family "Bacterial small subunit ribosomal RNA", at positions 30 to 507 of the family's 1533-position model. The record is from RNAcentral.